This 253-nucleotide ribosomal RNA is filed under the name uncultured bacterium. Its description in RNAcentral is "partial 16S ribosomal RNA". It matches the Rfam family "Bacterial small subunit ribosomal RNA", at positions 524 to 776 of the family's 1533-position model. The record is from RNAcentral.
UACGUAGGUGGCAAGCGUUGUCCGGAUUUACUGGGCGUAAAGGGCGCGCAGGCGGCCGUUCAAGUCGCGUGUGAAAGCCCCCGGCUCAACUGGGGAGGGUCACGCGAUACUGAUCGACUCGAAGGCAGGAGAGGGAAGUGGAAUUCCCGGUGUAGUGGUGAAAUGCGUAGAUAUCGGGAGGAACACCAGUGGCGAAGGCGACUUCCUGGCCUGUUCUUGACGCUGAGGCGCGAAAGCUAGGGGAGCAAACGGG